RNAcentral lists this ribosomal RNA (402 nucleotides) under Actinotignum timonense. RNAcentral describes it as "bacterial SSU rRNA". It matches the Rfam family "Bacterial small subunit ribosomal RNA", at positions 1141 to 1533 of the family's 1533-position model. The record is from RNAcentral. Lineage: Bacteria; Bacillati; Actinomycetota; Actinomycetes; Actinomycetales; Actinomycetaceae.
ACGAGAGACUGCCGGGGUUAACUCGGAGGAAGGUGGGGAUGACGUCAAAUCAUCAUGCCCCUUAUGUCUUGGGCUUCACGCAUGCUACAAUGGCCGGUACAGAGGGUUGCGAUAUCGUGAGGUGGAGCGAAUCCCUUAAAGCUGGUCUCAGUUCGGAUCGGGGUCUGCAACUCGACCUCGUGAAGUCGGAGUCGCUAGUAAUCGCGGAUCAGCAUUGCCGCGGUGAAUACGUUCCCGGGCCUUGUACACACCGCCCGUCACGUCACGAAAGUUGGUAACACCCGUAGCUCGUGGCCUAACCAUUUUGGGGGGAGCGGUCGAAGGUGGGGCUGGCGAUUGGGACGAAGUCGUAACAAGGUAGCCGUACCGGAAGGUGCGGCUGGAUCACCUCCUUUCUAAGGA